GGCGCUGACCACUUUGUGGCUCAUGACUGGGUGAAGUCGUAACAAGGUAACCGUAGGGGAACCUGCGGUUGGAUCACCUCCUUACCU
RNAcentral lists this ribosomal RNA (87 nucleotides) under Photorhabdus luminescens subsp. luminescens. Its description in RNAcentral is "partial 16S ribosomal RNA". It matches the Rfam family "Bacterial small subunit ribosomal RNA", at positions 1449 to 1533 of the family's 1533-position model. The record is from RNAcentral. Lineage: Bacteria; Pseudomonadati; Pseudomonadota; Gammaproteobacteria; Enterobacterales; Morganellaceae.